AUUGAACGCUGGCGGCAUGCCUUACACAUGCAAGUCGAACGGCAGCACGGGAGCAAUCCUGGUGGCGAGUGGCGAACGGGUGAGUAAAGUAUCGGAACGUGCCCAGUCGUGGGGGAUAACGUAGCGAAAGUCACGCUAAUACCGCAUACGAUCUAUGGAUGAAAGCGGGGGAUCGCAAGACCUCGCGCGAUUGGAGCGGCCGAUAUCAGAUUAGGUAGUUGGUGGGGUAAAGGCUCACCAAGCCGACGAUCUGUAGCUGGUCUGAGAGGACGACCAGCCAGACUGGGACUGAGACACGGCCCAGACUCCGACGGGAGGCAGCAGUGGGGAAUGUUGGGCAAUGGGCGAAAGCCUGAUCCAGCCAUGCCGCGUGCAGGAUGAAGGCCUUCGGGUUGUAAACUGCUUUUGUACGGAACGAAAAGGUUUGGCCUAAUAAGCUGAGCUCAUGACGGUACCGUAAGAAUAAGCACCGGCUAACUACGUGCCAGCAGCCGCCGUAA
This 500-nucleotide ribosomal RNA is filed under the name uncultured bacterium. RNAcentral's name for it is "partial 16S ribosomal RNA". It matches the Rfam family "Bacterial small subunit ribosomal RNA", at positions 29 to 523 of the family's 1533-position model. The record is from RNAcentral.